AACGCACCUUGCGCUCCUCGGUGUUCCGAGGAGCAUGCCUGUUUGAGCGUCAGUAAAUUCUCAACUCCUCUCGAUUGACUUCGAGUGGAGCUUGGAUAGUGGGGGCUGCCGGAGACCUGAAUAUUCGUGUUCGGGACUCGGGCUCCUCUGAAAUGUAUUGGCUUGCGGUCUGUUUUCGACUUUGCAUGAUAAGGCUUUUGGCGUGAUAAUGAUCGCCGCUCGCCGAAGUGCAUGAAUGAAACCGUGCCGUGCCUCUAAUCCGUCGAUGCCUCUAUGGGGCGUCUUCUUUACGCAUUUGACCUCAAAUCAGGUAGGACUACCCGCUGAACUUAA
This 333-nucleotide unclassified non-coding RNA is filed under the name uncultured Suillus. RNAcentral describes it as "partial contains 5.8S ribosomal RNA, internal transcribed spacer 2, and large subunit ribosomal RNA". The stretch from base 1 to 52 matches the Rfam family "5.8S ribosomal RNA", at positions 103 to 154 of the family's 154-position model. Lineage: Eukaryota; Fungi; Basidiomycota; Agaricomycetes; Boletales; Suillaceae. The record is from RNAcentral.